CCUGCGGAAGGAUCAUUACCGAGUUUUCGGGCUUCGGCUCGACUCUCCCACCCUUUGUGAACGUACCUCUGUUGCUUUGGCGGCUCCGGCCGCCAAAGGACCUCCAAACUCCAGUCAGUAAACGCAGACGUCUGAUAAACAAGUUAAUAAACUAAAACUUUCAACAACGGAUCUCUUGGUUCUGGCAUCGAUGAAGAACGCAGCGAAAUGCGAUAAGUAAUGUGAAUUGCAGAAUUCAGUGAAUCAUCGAAUCUUUGAACGCACAUUGCGCCCCUUGGUAUUCCGGGGGGCAUGCCUGUUCGAGCGUCAUUACAACCCUCAAGCUCUGCUUGGAAUUGGGCACCGUCCUCACUGCGGACGCGCCUCAAAGACCUCGGCGGUGGCUGUUCAGCCCUCAAGCGUAGUAGAAUACACCUCGCUUUGGAGUGGUUGGCGUCGCCCGCCGGACGAACCUUCUGAACUUUUCUCAAGGUUGACCUCGGAUCAGGUAGGGAUACCCGCUGAACUUAAGCAUAUCAAUAAGCGGAGG
Molecule: ribosomal RNA, 529 nt
Filed under: Lasiodiplodia theobromae
Lineage: Eukaryota; Fungi; Ascomycota; Dothideomycetes; Botryosphaeriales; Botryosphaeriaceae
Description: eukaryotic LSU rRNA
Rfam family: 5.8S ribosomal RNA (bases 156-309)
Source: RNAcentral